Molecule: ribosomal RNA, 3177 nt
Filed under: Triticum aestivum (bread wheat)
Lineage: Eukaryota; Viridiplantae; Streptophyta; Magnoliopsida; Poales; Poaceae
Description: partial small subunit ribosomal RNA
Source: RNAcentral
AUGGCGCAGCUCGGGGGGCUGAUCGCCUCUGCGCUCCUCAAGGUGGUGGGGGAUCAGAUCGGCUCCGUGCUCGGCGGCCAGAUCAAGCUGCGGCGUAACUUCGACAAUGACCUGCGCAGGAUGAAGGAGACGCUCGAGUGCGUCGAGGCGGUGCUGCUGGACGCCGAGAGGCGGGCCAUCACUGACAACGAGGUCCGCCUGUGGCUGAAGCGGCUCAAGGACGCCAUGUACGCCAUCUCCGACAUGCUUGAUGAUUCCGAAGCAGAGGAGGUCUCCCGCAAGAAGAAAUUGGCUGCUGUGAUCCCUUUUCUCACAACUGUUCACAAGAUUAAAAUGGCUAAUAAGAUGAAGACGAUGAGAGAGCAUGUGGCGGAGAUCACAGCUCAACACAAGGCCUUCAACUUAAUGCCAGGGGCUGGUGCCAAUAAGCAGAAAGUUACCGAUACACGUGUAACAACAUCAUCGACCCUGCAGGCACAGAUCAUUGGGAGGACUGGUGAGGAAGAGAAAAUACUGGCUUCUGUAUCUAAGGGCAUCACAGAACAAGUCACCUUUCUUCCUAUAUAUGGUAUUGGGGGCCUUGGCAAGACUACCAUGGCCAAACUAAUCUACAAUAAUAAUUCCCAAUUCCAAGACUACUCAAGGGUGUGGGUUUAUGUGUCCCAGACAUUUGACUUGAACAAUAUUGGUAAUUCUAUAAUAUCACAACUUUCAGGUAAUACGAGUCAAGACACCAACAGGGAGAUGAUACACAUUGCUCUUCAAAAGCUGUUUGCUGAAAAGCAGAAGAUUCUGAUCGUUUUAGAUGAUUUGUGGGAGGGCAGUGAUUUUCUUUUGGAUGAUCUGAAGGCUAUGUUAAUGGUUGAGAAGGCAAGCAAGGUGGUUGUUAUACUAACCACACGGAAUGAAGGCAUUGCAAAGAAAAUGUCAACCAGACCACACAAAUUAGCACCACUGACAAAUGACAUGUGUUGGACUAUAAUAAAGCAAAAGAGUGGCUUUGAAGAAAAAGAUGACAAAGCUAAGCUGGAGCAGAUUGGAAUGGACAUUGCAAUGAAAUGUGGAGGUGUGGGUUUAGCAGCUCAAUCACUUGGGUACAUGUUAAAUUCUAUGCCAACAUCUCAUGAAUGGGAGUCAGUGAGAGACAGUGAUAUUUGGACUCUAUCUGCUUCAGACUCGGAAGAUACACCUUCAAGACAGGUGAUUGCAUCUUUGAGGUUAAGUUAUAGUUCCAUGCCUUCAUAUUUGAAACUGUGCUUUGCCUAUUGUGCAAUCUUUCCAAAAGGUCACAAGAUAGUCAAAGAUGAUCUAAUUCGCCAGUGGAUUUCUCUUGAUUUUAUCAAGCCAACCAGAACAUCCUCCAGUCAUCAGCUCGGCGAGAAAUACAUUACGGAGCUUUUAGGGCUGUCAUUCCUUGAACACUCAAAGUCAUCACUGACUGCUAGAGUGCAUCCUGACGAUGUUACAUUAUUCACCAUGCAUGAUCUUGUGCAUGAUCUAGCCAGAUCGGUAAUGGAUGAUGAAAUUCUCGUCGCUAGCGAAGAUGGCAACCUUGGGGGAAGCAACUGCCACUUUGCAUUGCUCGAUGAUUGUAAGAAGCGAUUGGAGUCACCCAGGAUAAGAGCACUCCAUUUUAUGGACUCUGCUGAAAUUGGACUUCAUGAUGCUGCAUUUCCAUCUGCUAAGUCCCUACGUGUCUUGGACUUAAGUCAGUGUUGCGUACAUAAGUUGCCAGAUUCUAUUGAUCGAUCAAAAUGGUUGAGGUAUCUUAACGCUCCCAGAAUACUUGAUGCAACGAUUCCCAAUAGUAUAACCAGUCUAUCAAAAUUAAAUUACCUCAGUCUCCGUGAUUCUUCUAACAUCUUGACACUGCCACAGUCGAUUGGAGAAAUUGAAGGUCUGAUGUAUCUUGAUUUAUCUGGUUGUUCGGGAAUGAGAGAACUUCCAAAAUCCUUCGGAGAGCUAAAAAAAUUGGUGCGUCUUGAUUUGUCAAAAUGCGUUUGUGUUUGCAAUGUAUCAGAGUUCUUGGGGAGCCUCACGGAACUGCAAUAUUUGAACUUGUCAGGAUGUAGAUCUAUUGGAAAUCUACACGCAUCCUUGGGUGUCCUAUCUGAGCUGCAAUAUUUGAACUUAUCAUUCAGCUCUUAUGUUAAUUGCAGAAAAACGAAAGUAUUUGGCGCCGUCGCCAAAGUGGAGUGUUCAAAGUUAUCUUCAAGUCACUCUUGUCUGGAACAGCUCCCUGAAGUUUUAGGCAGCUUCAAUAAACUCAAGUUUUUAAACCUAUCAGGUUCUUAUUGUCUCAAAGAGUUGUCAUGGUUAUCUGGAAACCAGAAAAGUUUGGUGCAUCUUGAUUUAUCGAAGUGCAGAGAGGUUAAUUAUAUACCGGAAGCUUUUUCUGGAUUUACCAAUCUUCAAUAUUUGAAUCUAUCGGCAUGCCUCCGGUAUAGACUUGACAAGUCACCUGUAUGUCAAAUUGACCGUUUGAUAGACCAUAUUAGUACCCUUUCCAAUCUAGAGCAUUUGGAUUUGUCUAAUAAUGGUGAUGCUAUUUGCUCUUUACCUGAAUGUCUUGGUAACCUUAGAAAGCUGCACACACUGGACCUCUCACACUGCAAUAUUACAAAGAUACCAGAAAGUAUAGGUACGAUUGAUAGUUUGAAGAUGCUAUAUUUUAAGGGAUGCUGGCUUCUUUCUAAUGUACCGCAGCUCAGUGCUAGUUCCAUAUCAUUACCCCUUUUUGGCGUGCAUGCUGGUGAUGGUAAAUCGAGCAGCAACCUUGUUCUCCUACAAGGCAUGAAUCCUGUUGAGCUGAAGAUCAUCCAACUUGAAAAAGUGAAGUCGGCGGAAGAAGCUAUGUGUAUAAAGUUGAUGGAAAAAGAAAGACUUCAAGACUUGACUCUCCGGUGGACUGAAGAUGCUCAGAGGUUUGUGGAUGAUGAAGUGUUGUUGGAGAAACUAGAGCCACCGAGCAGUUUAACUACAUUGAUUAUACAAUGGUAUAAUGUUGUCAGUUUUCCAUCCUGGCUCAGCCAACUGCCAAACCUGACAUGGCUAGCUCUCUACGAUAUGAAACAUCUGGAAGAGUGGAGUGCAUCAGACUCCAGUCGUGCGAACGACCUCAGGUUCCCUAUGCUUGAUUGUUUGUAUAUAAAAAAUUGCCCCAAACUGAGGAUGUGA